RNAcentral lists this long non-coding RNA (340 nucleotides) under Helianthus annuus (common sunflower). RNAcentral describes it as "hypothetical non coding rna". Lineage: Eukaryota; Viridiplantae; Streptophyta; Magnoliopsida; Asterales; Asteraceae. The record is from RNAcentral.
GCGAACGAGAAUACGGACGCGCAAGGUAAGUGAACUCCGAACUUACCCUUUAGUUUGGUAAUGUAUUUAUGUUAUACGUUAAUUGUUGAAUGCCAUGUAAGAAGAUAUGGAUCUAUGCCAUUACUAAGUUAAGUUGUUAAUGGAAUGGGUUGGAAGUGGUUAAGAAAGAGAUUCGAUUAGGUUUGGGUAAGAAAGGGAACCUACAUAAUGAAAUUUAUGUUUGAAUGAAUAAGAUGAGUUAUGUGUAUUUUAGGACAUAUUCAUAUAAACGGAAGCUAAUGUACUAAUCGUUUUUCUAUUGAGAAUUAAUAUGAAGUGUAGGCAUGUUAACAAAGGAAGU